UUUAGUGAGAUUAUCCACAUGAAGUAUCCAGAUUUGGAGAACCAGUUCAAUACAACUGGUGCGCGUUUGAGAGCAGGAAAAAGGGACUUAGACGAUAUAGUUUGUGAAAUGCAAGAUAAACUGUGUCAAUUCAAGGGCGAUCUAUUGGAGGAAGAGGCUUUGAUCAAUUCACUGUGCAAGAGCAAGAGCUCCAUGGACGCACUUUUAACGGCGCGUGAGCGGCACUUAAAAUUGUGGAAUGGCUUCAUGGAUCGUAAAGAUAUAUUCCAGACGGUCGCCACGAGUGUGUCUGACAUAUUCAUUGCUUUGACGCACAUGCAUAGCUGCAAAAAUGUCUAUCAGUUUUCUUUUCAAACUUUUAAAAUGAAAUUCUUAGAGCUGCUUAAAAGGAGAUUUAGCCAAGCAGAGACAGAAGAGAACCUGAAGAAAUCGGUAGAGAGUUUCAAGAAAUGCGUGAUCACAGAACUUAUUAAUUAUUUCGCUCACUGUUUCUGCCGUCAAGAUAUGGAAUUAUUUUGUCACAUAAUUUCCGGCAGUUUCGAGAGGCGCGAAAUUCGUCAGAAUCAGGGUGAUGACGGGAAAGAAGA
Long non-coding RNA from Cloeon dipterum, 587 nucleotides. RefSeq lists it as uncharacterized. The record is from RefSeq and is a predicted model, not a curated record. The transcript is spliced from 3 exons. Lineage: Eukaryota; Metazoa; Arthropoda; Insecta; Ephemeroptera; Baetidae.